GACGUAGGGCGCAAGCGUUGUCCGGAUUUAUUGGGCGUAAAGAGCUCGUAGGCGGCUUGUCGCGUCGACUGUGAAAACCCGUGGCUCAACCAUGCGGUCUGCAGUCGAUACGGGCAGGCUAGAAUUCGGUAGGGGAGACUGGAAUUCCUGGUGUAGCGGUGAAAUGCGCAGAUAUCAGGAGGAACACCGGUGGCGAAGGCGGGUCUCUGGGCCGAUAUUGACGCUGAGGAGCGAAAGCGUGGGGAGCGAACAGG
RNAcentral lists this ribosomal RNA (254 nucleotides) under uncultured bacterium. Its description in RNAcentral is "partial 16S ribosomal RNA". It matches the Rfam family "Bacterial small subunit ribosomal RNA", at positions 524 to 776 of the family's 1533-position model. The record is from RNAcentral.